This 467-nucleotide ribosomal RNA is filed under the name uncultured bacterium. RNAcentral describes it as "partial 16S ribosomal RNA". It matches the Rfam family "Bacterial small subunit ribosomal RNA", at positions 28 to 507 of the family's 1533-position model. The record is from RNAcentral.
GACGAACGCUGGCGGCGUGCUUAACACAUGCAAGUCGAACGGAAAGGCCCUGCUUUUGUGGGGUGCUCGAGUGGCGAACGGGUGAGUAACACGUGAGUAACCUGCCCUUGACUUUGGGAUAACUUCAGGAAACUGGGGCUAAUACCGGAUAGGAGCUCCUGCUGCAUGGUGGGGGUUGGAAAGUUUCGGCGGUUGGGGAUGGACUCGCGGCUUAUCAGCCUGUUGGUGGGGUAGUGGCUUACCAAGGCUUUGACGGGUAGCCGGCCUGAGAGGGUGACCGGCCACAUUGGGACUGAGAUACGGCCCAGACUCCUACGGGAGGCAGCAGUGGGGAAUAUUGCACAAUGGGCGGAAGCCUGAUGCAGCAACGCCGCGUGCGGGAUGACGGCCUUCGGGUUGUAACCGCUUUCGCCUGUGACGAAGCGUGAGUGACGGUAAUGGGUAAAGAAGCACCGGCUAACUACGUG